This 253-nucleotide ribosomal RNA is filed under the name uncultured bacterium. Its description in RNAcentral is "partial 16S ribosomal RNA". It matches the Rfam family "Bacterial small subunit ribosomal RNA", at positions 524 to 776 of the family's 1533-position model. The record is from RNAcentral.
UACGGAGGGGACUAGCGUUGUUCGGAAUUACUGGGCGUAAAGCGCACGUAGGCGGAUUUGUAAGUCAGGGGUGAAAUCCCGGGGCUCAACCUCGGAACUGCCUUUGAUACUGCAAAUCUCGAGUCCGGAAGAGGUGAGUGGAAUUCCUAGUGUAGAGGUGAAAUUCGUAGAUAUUCGGAAGAACACCAGUGGCGAAGGCGGCUCACUGGACCGGUAUUGACGCUGAGGUGCGAAAGCGUGGGGAGCAAACAGG